Molecule: transfer RNA, 73 nt
Filed under: Cyrtodactylus sermowaiensis
Lineage: Eukaryota; Metazoa; Chordata; Lepidosauria; Squamata; Gekkonidae
Description: tRNA-Asn
Source: RNAcentral
UAGGCUGAGGCCCGCUGGAUGGGGUGUUUAGUUGUUAACUAAUAUUUUACGGGAUCGAGGCCCGUCUGUCUAG